This 468-nucleotide ribosomal RNA is filed under the name uncultured bacterium. RNAcentral's name for it is "partial 16S ribosomal RNA". It matches the Rfam family "Bacterial small subunit ribosomal RNA", at positions 28 to 507 of the family's 1533-position model. The record is from RNAcentral.
GACGAACGCUGGCGGCGUGCUUAACACAUGCAAGUCGAACGGAAAGGCCCUGCUUUUGUGGGGUGCUCGAGUGGCGAACGGGUGAGUAACACGUGAGUAACCUGCCCUUGACUUUGGGAUAACUUCAGGAAACUGGGGCUAAUACCGGAUAGGAGCUCCUGCUGCAUGGUGGGGGUUGGAAAGUUUCGGCGGUUGGGGAUGGACUCGCGGCUUAUCAGCUUGUUGGUGGGGUAGUGGCUUACCAAGGCUUUGACGGGUAGCCGGCCUGAGAGGGUGACCGGGCACAUUGGGACUGAGAUACGGACCAGACUCCUACGGGAGGCAGCAGUGGGGAAUAUUGCACAAUGGGCGGAAGCCUGAUGCAGCAACGCCGCGUGCGGGAUGACGGCCUUCGGGUUGUAAACCGCUUUCGCCUGUGACGAAGAGUGAGUGACGGUAAUGGGUAAAGAAGCACCGGCUAACUACGUG